GCGCAGGUUUCCCUGGCAAUGGUUAGGCUCUUACAGGGAGGACUGUUCUGCGGAGCGCUCCGAACGGACAAACCACAAUAAAAAGUUCACGUUCAUGGAUGGAAUCCACAUGACUUCUUGUGGCCAAUCCAACUUGAAGAGAGCUACAUCCUUCCCAGUGGGGAGCCCAGGCAGCCCCCCACUCCACCCUAGACGGGAACAGGAGACACACGCCGCUGGAAACCUCCUAGCCAAGGCUGACCUGGCCGUGUUCUGACGAGCGGAGAGGGUUUAGACCCAUACUGGGCAGCCCUGCGGAGGCAGCAGGAGGGGUGAGAGUUGGGGGCGGCCUCCAGAACCCCCAAAGAGCCCGUCAUCCUCAGGCUCCUUUCUCAGAGAAAAUGACAUUUUUCCUUCUCCAAGACUAUCCCUGGUGUCAAGUCUCCUCAAUUCCUAGGUUCAGAGGGCAGCUUAUUCCCAAUCUUUUUAGAAUUGAAAAUAAAAUGAAGGUCCAAGAUCUUGGUUCCCGCUUUUUUUUUUCCCUUGAGUGUAAGGCAGUUUGAAGCCUUUUCUGCCUUGUCAAGUGACCCACACCCACCUGCCUUUUUUCAGAAAAAUUCUGGUGUCCCAGCAGCUGGGAUACACCUUGGA
Long non-coding RNA from Acinonyx jubatus (cheetah), 630 nucleotides. RefSeq lists it as uncharacterized. The record is from RefSeq and is a predicted model, not a curated record. NCBI's taxonomy places the organism in Eukaryota, Metazoa, Chordata, Mammalia, Carnivora, Felidae. The transcript has 2 exons.